AACGGCGGCCGUAACUAUAACGGUCCUAAGGUAGCGAAAUUCCUUGUCAGGUAAGUUCUGACCCGCACGAAAGGUGUAACGAUUUGGGCGCUGUCUCGGCAGCAGACUCGGUGAAAUCUUAGUACCUGUGAAAAUGCAGGUUACCCGCAACUAGACGGAAAGACCCCAUGGAGCUUUACUGCAGCCUGAUAUUGAAUUCUGGUCAUACAUGUACAGGAUAGGUGGGAGACAAAGAGACGUGCACGCCAGUGUACGAGGAGUCGUCGUUGGGAUACCACUCUUGUGUGACCGGGGUUCUAACCUGGUAUCGAGAACAGGUACGGGGAGAGUGUCAGGUGGGCAGUUUGACUGGGGCGGUCGCCUCCCAAAGAGUAACGGAGGCGCCCAAAGGUACGCUCAGAUUGGAUGGAAACCAAUCGUCGAGUGCAAUUGCAGAAGCGUGCUUGACUGUGAGACAAACAAGUCGAACAGGGACGAAAGUCGGGAAUAGUGAUCCGGCGGUGCCGAAUGGAAGGGCCGUCGCUCAACGGAUAAAAGCUACCCUGGGGAUAACAGGCUGAUCUCGCCCAAGAGUUCACAUCGACGGCGAGGUUUGGCACCUCGAUGUCGGCUCAUCGCAUCCUGGAGCUGGAUUCGGUUCCAAGGGUUGGGCUGUCCGCCCAUUAAAGCGGUACGCGAGCUGGGUUCAGAACGUCGUGAGACAGUUCGGUCCCUAUCUGUUGUGGGCGAAGGAGAUCUGCGGAGAGCUGUCCUCAGUACGAGAGGACCGGGAUGGACCUACCGCUGGUGCACCGGUUGUUCCGCCAGGGGCAUAGCCGGGUAGCUAAGUAGGGAAAGGAUAAGCGCUGAAAGCAUCUAAGCACGAAGCCUACUCCAAGAUGAGAUCUCCCAUUCGCAAGAAGUAAGACCCCUUAAAGACGAUAAGGUAGAUAGGCCAGGGAUGGAAGUGCAGUGAUGUACGGAGUUGACUGGUACUAAUCGGUCGAGGACUUAAUCAG
Molecule: ribosomal RNA, 998 nt
Filed under: human gut metagenome
Description: bacterial LSU rRNA
Rfam family: Bacterial large subunit ribosomal RNA
Source: RNAcentral